This 464-nucleotide ribosomal RNA is filed under the name Vreelandella stevensii. RNAcentral's name for it is "partial 16S ribosomal RNA". It matches the Rfam family "Bacterial small subunit ribosomal RNA", at positions 338 to 795 of the family's 1533-position model. Lineage: Bacteria; Pseudomonadati; Pseudomonadota; Gammaproteobacteria; Oceanospirillales; Halomonadaceae. The record is from RNAcentral.
CCUACGGGCGGCAGCAGUGGGGAAUAUUGGACAAUGGGGGGAACCCUGAUCCAGCCAUGCCGCGUGUGUGAAGAAGCCCUCGGGUUGUAAAGCACUUUCAGUGAGGAAGAACGCCUGGUGGUUAAUACCCAUCAGGAAAGACAUCACUCACAGAAGAAGCACCGGCUAACUCCGUGCCAGCAGCCGCGGUAAUACGGAGGGUGCGAGCGUUAAUCGGAAUUACUGGGCGUAAAGCGCGCGUAGGUGGCUUGAUAAGCCGGUUGUGAAAGCCCCGGGCUCAACCUGGGAACGGCAUCCGGAACUGUCAAGCUAGAGUGCAGGAGAGGAAGGUAGAAUUCCCGGUGUAGCGGUGAAAUGCGUAGAGAUCGGGAGGAAUACCAGUGGCGAAGGCGGCCUUCUGGACUGACACUGACACUGAGGUGCGAAAGCGUGGGUAGCAAACAGGAUUAGAUACCCCGGUAGUC